CAUUUUUAUCGUACUAUGUUUGCCAAGUUUUUGUUUUUGUUUUGUUUUAACGUGUUUGUGAGUUUUCUAACAUUUUUCCCUUCCUUAAUGGUGUUUUAUUUUGUCUGCAGAAAAGAUGCAGGGUAUCACGUGCAUGGAUGCUGCCCUGGACGCAAUGCGUCCACUUGGAUUUAGGACACAACUGAUUCUACGAACGGUUAAUGAGCUUCUCGAUGUGUAUGGUGGAAAUCAAGGAUGGUGCUUUAUUGAAGAGGCCUAUUACAAGCUCCUAAUGGAGGCCAGUCGCUGCCAUUGUUUUUACCGUUAAGAAGAAAUUUAGUCACUCCGGUUCCGAUAAGCCUGCUCCAGUUCUCGGUCCCCCUGGCGCCGUUGACCAAAAAUACUGCAGUGCACUCAAAACCGCAAUGCAAUUCUUCGAUGUUUAGAAAUCUGGGAGGUUAGUUGACAGUAAAAUAUCUUGGAGAGGGAAUUCGGCUCUUAAGGAUGGGAGCCAAGCGAAGUUGGAUCUAUCAAAAGGGAUGUAUGAUGCUAGGGAUAACAUGAAGUUUGGUUUUCCGAUGGCUUUUAUGGCCACAGUGCUGUCUUGGUCCAUUCUGGAAUAUGGAGAUCAAAUGGAUCACGUUGGCCAGUUAGACGCCGCUCAGGAUUCGCUCAAGUGGAUCACUGAUUUUCUCAUCAAUGCUCACCCUUCUGAGAAUGUUCUUUAUAUUCAGGUUAUUGUGUUUUUCAGCUUUCGUUUCAUGCCUCAUUUCUGUGCAAGUUGGCCAAUGUGCAUCUGUGCAUGCAUUAGUUUAUUAUCUUUUGUCUUCUUACAAGGACAUGGACACUCUUACUACUUAAUGAUUAUUGGAAUGUUCUUUAUGGUUAAACUGUAGGAUUUGACUUUGAUCCAUCUAUAGUGCAAGAGAUUUUACACAAUCAGUGAAUUAUAUGAUGCCACCUGUUUGAAAAACAAUUAAAUGCUUUAGCAAGCAGUGUAAAGUAUUUAUUAGUUACGACAAUUAUGCAGCGUACUGUGGUUUCCUUACAGUGAAA
Molecule: long non-coding RNA, 1035 nt
Organism: Glycine soja
Lineage: Eukaryota; Viridiplantae; Streptophyta; Magnoliopsida; Fabales; Fabaceae
Exons: 3
Source: RefSeq, a predicted model, not a curated record